ACGGGUGAGUAACGCGUAAAGAACUUGCCGGAUGGACCGGGAUAACAGCUGGAAACGGCUGGCAAGACCGGAUACUAUGGGCGGGCCGCAUGGCUGGCCCAUGAAAAGGGAUGCCGUCCGAGAGCUUUGCGUCCUAUUAGCUGGUUGGUAAGGUGACGGCUUACCAAGGCGAUGAUAGGUAGCCGGCCUGAGAGGGUGGACGGCCACAAGGGGACUGAGAUACGGCCCUUACUCCUACGGGAGGCAGCAGUGGGGAAUAUUGGACAAUGGACCGAGAGUCUGAUCCAGCAAUUCUGUGUGCACGAUGAAGUUUUUCGGAAUGUAAAGUGCUUUCAGUUGGGAAGAAAAAGAUGACGGUACCAACAGAAGAAGUGACGGCUAAAUACGUGCCAGCAGCCGCGGUAAUACGUAUGUCACGAGCGUUAUCCGGAUUUAUUGGGCGUAAAGCGCGUCUAGGUGGUUAUGUAAGUCUGAUGUGAAAAUGCAGGGCUCAACUCUGUAUUGCGUUGGAAACUGCAUGACUAGAGUACUGGAGAGGUAAGCGGAACUACAAGUGUAGAGGUGAAAUUCGUAGAUAUUUGUAGGAAUGCCGAUGGGGAAGCCAGCUUACUGGACAGAUACUGACGCUAAAGCGCGAAAGCGUGGGUAGCAAACAGGAUUAGAUACCCU
This 669-nucleotide ribosomal RNA is filed under the name uncultured bacterium. RNAcentral describes it as "bacterial SSU rRNA". It matches the Rfam family "Bacterial small subunit ribosomal RNA", at positions 102 to 788 of the family's 1533-position model. The record is from RNAcentral.